This 77-nucleotide transfer RNA is filed under the name Alphaproteobacteria bacterium RIFCSPHIGHO2_02_FULL_46_13. RNAcentral's name for it is "tRNA-Pro". It matches the Rfam family "tRNA". From Rfam's summary of the family: Transfer RNA (tRNA) molecules are approximately 80 nucleotides in length. Their secondary structure includes four short double-helical elements and three loops (D, anti-codon, and T loops). Lineage: Bacteria; Pseudomonadati; Pseudomonadota; Alphaproteobacteria. The record is from RNAcentral. RNAcentral also lists the same sequence under 2 other names.
CGGAAUGUGGCGCAGCCCGGUAGCGCACUUGCAUGGGGUGCAAGGGGUCGCAAGUUCAAAUCUUGUCAUUCCGACCA